This 604-nucleotide ribosomal RNA is filed under the name Campylobacter jejuni. RNAcentral describes it as "bacterial SSU rRNA". It matches the Rfam family "Bacterial small subunit ribosomal RNA", at positions 926 to 1533 of the family's 1533-position model. Lineage: Bacteria; Pseudomonadati; Campylobacterota; Epsilonproteobacteria; Campylobacterales; Campylobacteraceae. The record is from RNAcentral.
CAAGCGGUGGAGCAUGUGGUUUAAUUCGAAGAUACGCGAAGAACCUUACCUGGGCUUGAUAUCCUAAGAACCUUUUAGAGAUAAGAGGGUGCUAGCUUGCUAGAACUUAGAGACAGGUGCUGCACGGCUGUCGUCAGCUCGUGUCGUGAGAUGUUGGGUUAAGUCCCGCAACGAGCGCAACCCACGUAUUUAGUUGCUAACGGUUCGGCCGAGCACUCUAAAUAGACUGCCUUCGUAAGGAGGAGGAAGGUGUGGACGACGUCAAGUCAUCAUGGCCCUUAUGCCCAGGGCGACACACGUGCUACAAUGGCAUAUACAAUGAGACGCAAUACCGCGAGGUGGAGCAAAUCUAUAAAAUAUGUCCCAGUUCGGAUUGUUCUCUGCAACUCGAGAGCAUGAAGCCGGAAUCGCUAGUAAUCGUAGAUCAGCCAUGCUACGGUGAAUACGUUCCCGGGUCUUGUACUCACCGCCCGUCACACCAUGGGAGUUGAUUUCACUCGAAGCCGGAAUACUAAACUAGUUACCGUCCACAGUGGAAUCAGCGACUGGGGUGAAGUCGUAACAAGGUAACCGUAGGAGAACCUGCGGUUGGAUCACCUCCUUU